This 411-nucleotide long non-coding RNA is filed under the name Mytilus galloprovincialis (Mediterranean mussel). Lineage: Eukaryota; Metazoa; Mollusca; Bivalvia; Mytilida; Mytilidae. The record is from RNAcentral.
GCAUCACACAGUUGAUUUCACAUAUCACAUGUCUAUAGAGAAUGUAAGACUCAGUGUUCUGAGUCUACAUGUACAACGAGUAAUGUAGACUUUGUCUCCAAGAGUAUCAAAAUAUUUUGCAUAGUAAACUUUCGUAUUCAUAAUGAUACCUAUCAUACAACAUAGAUGGAGCUUUUGGACUAGUUUACAAAGCUAAUGCGGCAAAGAAAUUUAGGUUGUGCAAUGAAUUAUGGAAUAUUGACACAUGCAAUAAAAGUAAAGUUAUGGGCAUGCAACAAUUUUGACAUAAUUAAAAGUACCUUAAUAUUCUGAGUCAUUGAUACUUUACUUACAGUUUAUUUACAAAUGUUCGUCUGGUCUCUAGAUGCAAAGUGCCCGAGUUGUCACCCCCUUAAAAAAAGCAACAUAAAC